CAACAACAACAAAAGUGACCAAAGGACUUCAGCUGUGUGCUCUGCAGGGCCAGGGAGGCCAAGGUCAGCAUUGCUCAGCACCUGGAGGUACAGCGAGUCCCAGCAUCAAAGCCCGGCCGCCAGGAGUUGGGGUCGCUGCUGCUGUUGCCAUGUUAUUCUGGUCGUCAUGCAGCACAUGCUUGCUCCGUCCUGCUGAAGGCUCCGGAGCCCUGAGCCAGCCGCCUCCGUCACAAGAAGUUGCCAGUACAUUGGCCACAAAGAUGCACGUUUAUCCCGCCUCAACCUCCUCGUCGUUCCUUCUCUUCCGUCGCCAGGGGCCUCAGCUCCUCUGGCUCGGCCCCCUUUCAAGGCCUGUGCCCUUGUUGGGCUCCCUGGGCUGUGGGCUCCCAAGAUGCCUCCGGCCAGGGCUCACCUGGUGCCGGCGCUGACCGAACCACUGGAAAAGGUGGAAGAAGCAACCUGGGGACAGCAACGCUGCUCCAAACCCUGCUGUGGGCCUCAGGGAUGUUGCUCCUUCUCUCUGGGCCUCAGUUUACUGCGUCAAAUGGGGCAGUAAUCAUAGCUCCUCUCUGGGGAAGACUGUGAUGGCUACACUCAUCAGCAUUUAGGGUACACCUGAUUUUACCAGGAAGGAAUGGGGGGAUCUAAAUGCCUUUCUUCACACGUGCGUUGUAAAUGACCGUCCCAAGUGGCUGGCGUGGCGAAGCGUGACCGCAUCCACGGAAGCGUAACAGUGUGUUCUGGGAUCUAGCAGACAAUCUCGGCGUCAGGAAAUGCCAUCAUAUUUCACCGGCUCUGAGAAAAAUGAACACAAUUCCACAGCCACAUAGAGCUCGAGCGGAGUCUGUGAACAAGGAGUGGGUAAGGGAGGACGUGCCAGGAGAGCCAAUACCAGCCCGUGUUUGGUGCAGCCCGAUAACAGGAAGACAGACCCCAAAUUAAACAAAUAUGAAUGAAUUUCUCUGCGUGUAGUCGCAGCAAAUAUAUCAGUUGAAAAUGGGUAGAGCAAGCGGCAAAAUGUAAUAAAUCCAAAUGAACUCCGGUGCCGAAGUGAAAACAAAUAUUUCACUGAGUAGCAGUACAAGUUGGGACACGGGAGGAAUACAGAGAAAGGACUGUUUGGAAGAACCACACACGACGUAGUCACAUGACUGUGGCAGAAAGGGUUCGGCCAGCCUUAUCUCCACGGGCACAUGUACAGGUAGGGCACCUUCCCAAGGGACCUGGGGCACCGAGACACCCCUACCCCUCUGGCCUCAACCUGGAGGUUCAUCUGUGCUGUAGCUGGAUGCAUCCGUAUUCUAGUCCUUUUUAUUGCAGAAUAAUAUUCCACUGUGAGUGCACUAUACAGUUUGUUUCUCCAUUCAUCCAUUGAUGGACACUUGGGUUGGUUCUAACUUUUGGCUAUUGUGAAUAGAACUGCUAUGAGAAAGGGUCACUUGCCACUAUCCUCACAGUUGCUUGCCCCUGGGUUGAGGACUGGGGGAUGGUAGCUGAUCUGUUAAACAUGGAUAUUGACUGACAUGAACUCAAUUUUAUCAGCCUCUUCAUCAAGCUGUUGCCUGGAGGCUGCAAGUGGUCAAUAGUGCUGAACAGAUCAGGGUGUCCAAUUCACUAGUAUGCAUGGAGCACCUGGUGAACCAGGUGGGCGAGGUGGGGAGUGAGGCUGCCACCCACAGUCAGACCCAGCUGUGGGCUACUAAAAUGUCUUCAGGAGCUACAGGAGGGGCCCAGGAGCGAGUGAUGGGGAGGGGGCGCUAUAGCGGGCAGUCAGGCAGGUCCCUCCCAGAAAGAAGGUGUUAUUCCUGCGGCAGGCUCAGAAUGUGAUGUUGGAAGGAAGGGCAUCCUAGGCCCAGAGUGGGAAGUCCUUAGGAGUGAAGGGAGGCCUGAGGGAGGUGGCAAACCAGGUGGCUUUGCUGCCAGCCCCAAGGGUGGCACUGAGGGCCUGCAGAGGAGGACGGGGAGGGGACUGAAACCAGGGAGACCACAGGGGUUCCAAGGGAGCCUGUAGGUUCCGGGCCGGCCAUUGGGUGGGCGGUGGGACUGGGAAGACAGGAGCCAUGGCUUCCCAAACGCCCCUUUACACCGCAGGAGAAGUGGAC
Molecule: long non-coding RNA, 2102 nt
Organism: Myotis brandtii (Brandt's bat)
Lineage: Eukaryota; Metazoa; Chordata; Mammalia; Chiroptera; Vespertilionidae
Exons: 4
Source: RefSeq, a predicted model, not a curated record